Gasterosteus aculeatus aculeatus (three-spined stickleback) is the source of this 522-nucleotide long non-coding RNA. The record is from Ensembl. NCBI's taxonomy places the organism in Eukaryota, Metazoa, Chordata, Actinopteri, Perciformes, Gasterosteidae.
UUUAAAUACUAGGAUAGAGGGACAUGUUGGGCCCCGUCGCACUGAUUCCGUCUCCGUCCAGAGGUUCCACUCAGACAACCGAUAAACGCAGCGUUCAAGUUCCCGUCUUCUCCGUGAGAAGAGCAGGAAUAAUGGCACCAUUAACCAACCCGUUAACAAUGGAGAAAAUCACUGUUUACCCUUUUGGCAAAAGUAAGAGCUCCCUGUCUGAGGAAACUGAGACUUCCUGUGCACCCACAAUGCAUUGUGCUCCGGACCCAUCUCGUUUAUUUGGCCCCCGUGCAAUCACUUCUGCCCUACUUUUAGAAGAGGGGAGGUCCGGGGGUGAGGAGGAAAGGUUUGCCUCAGGCGUCUGCAGCUGUGAGAUGGUCUGUUACUGGGAGUGUUUCCCACCCCACUGGGACAAAAACAACUCUCUGGUCAGUCUCAAUCUCUGCCCCACCUGGACGGGAGGGAUCUGCUCCGACCCUCUUUCAUGCAGCACAUGUGUAUCCGAAAUGGCUCAUGCCCACAGUCUCUCCG